RNAcentral lists this ribosomal RNA (422 nucleotides) under uncultured prokaryote. RNAcentral's name for it is "bacterial SSU rRNA". It matches the Rfam family "Bacterial small subunit ribosomal RNA", at positions 355 to 774 of the family's 1533-position model. The record is from RNAcentral.
UGAGGAAUAUUGGUCAAUGGGCGAGAGCCUGAACCAGCCACGUCGCGUGAAGGAUGAAGGUCCUAUGGAUUGUAAACUUCUUUUAUAGUAGAAUAAAGUGAUCCACGUGUGGAUUUUUGUAUGUAUACUAUGAAUAAGGAUCGGCUAACUCCGUGCCAGCAGCCGCGGUAAUACGGAGGAUCCGAGCGUUAUCCGGAUUUAUUGGGUUUAAAGGGUGCGUAGGCGGAAUAAUAAGUCAGUUGUGAAAGCUUGCGGCUCAACCGUAAAAUUGCAGUUGAUACUGGUAUGCUUGAGUGUACAUAAGGUAGGCGGAAUUCGGGGUGUAGCGGUGAAAUGCGUAGAUAUCACGAAGAACUCCAAUUGCGAAGGCAGCUUACCGGGGUAAAACUGACGCUGAGGCACGAAAGUGUGGGUAUCAAACA